This 21-nucleotide microRNA is filed under the name Aedes albopictus (Asian tiger mosquito). Its description in RNAcentral is "miR-4728-5p". Lineage: Eukaryota; Metazoa; Arthropoda; Insecta; Diptera; Culicidae. The record is from RNAcentral.
UGGGAGGGCAGAGGGGCAGCA